AGCAUUAUACAGCGAAACUGCGAAUGGCUCAUUAUAUAAGUUAUCGUUUAUUUGAUAGUACCUUACUACUUGGAUAACCGUGGUAAUUCUAGAGCUAAUACAUGCUGAAAAUCCCGACUUCGGAAGGGAUGUAUUUAUUAGAUUCAAAACCAAUGCCCUCUGGGCUCACUGGUGAUUCAUGAUAACUCUUCGAAUCGCAUGGCCUUGCGCCGGCGAUGGUUCAUUCAAAUUUCUUCCCUAUCAACUUUCGAUGUUUGGGUAGUGGCCAAACAUGGUUGCAACGGGUAACGGAGGGUUAGGGCUCGACCCCGGAGAAGGAGCCUGAGAAACGGCUACUACAUCCAAGGAAGGCAGCAGGCGCGCAAAUUACCCAAUCCCGACACGGGGAGGUAGUGACAAUAAAUACUGAUACAGGGCUCUUUUGGGUCUUGUAAUUGGAAUGAGUACAAUUUAAAUCCCUUAACGAGGAACAAUUGGAGGGCAAGUCUGGUGCCAGCAGCCGCGGUAAUUCCAGCUCCAAUAGCGUAUAUUAAAGUUGUUGUGGUUAAAAAGCUCGUAGUUGAACCUUGGGCCUGGCUGGCCGGUCCGCCUCACCGCGUGUACUGGUCCGGCCGGGCCUUUCCCUCUGUGGAACCCCAUGCCCUUCACUGGGUGUGGCGGGGAAACAGGACUUUUACUUUGAAAAAAUUAGAGUGCUCCAGGCAGGCCUAUGCUCGAAUACAUUAGCAUGGAAUAAUGAAAUAGGACGCGCGGUUCUAUUUUGUUGGUUUCUAGGACCGCCGUAAUGAUUAAUAGGGACAGUCGGGGGCAUCAGUAUUCAAUUGUCAGAGGUGAAAUUCUUGGAUUUAUUGAAGACUAACUACUGCGAAAGCAUUUGCCAAGGAUGUUUUCAUUAAUCAGGAACGAAAGUUAGGGGAUCGAAGACGAUCAGAUACCGUCGUAGUCUUAACCAUAAACUAUGCCGACUAGGGAUCGGAACGAUGUUAUUUUUUGACUCGUUCGGCACCUUACGAGAAAUCAAAGUG
This 1025-nucleotide ribosomal RNA is filed under the name Hirsutella thompsonii. Its description in RNAcentral is "SSU rRNA". It matches the Rfam family "Eukaryotic small subunit ribosomal RNA", at positions 68 to 1105 of the family's 1831-position model. The record is from RNAcentral. Lineage: Eukaryota; Fungi; Ascomycota; Sordariomycetes; Hypocreales; Ophiocordycipitaceae.